GUGUGGCCAGCUGGGAGGUCCGUGUGCAAGGAUGGAGCUCUCACUGAGUGCUCCAGCAGUGCCACUGGGCAUACAGAGAUGUUCUCCUGUGCUGUGCCUCCAUACCUGUGGCUGUGUGUGGGAGUCCUGGAGAUGGCAGCAGGGCAGGAGGGAUCCUCAGCUGCUGGGAUAUGAAGGCUCUUCCCAAUUCGGCAGGCAUGCACCCUUCUCAGAUGUUCUGCUGUGCAGCCUCACACCAUCCUGAGCUCACCGUAGCGUUCUCCAUCAUCCAUGCACUGGAGGAGUCUUGGAAGCCCAUGCCUGGAAGAGAGACUUGGCGAUCAGGCUGCACUGGAUGCAGGAGAAUGCCCUCCUCCUCUCGAGAAGCACAGUAGGACUUUGUCCUUCUCAGCCACCUGAGCAGAACGUGCUCAUCUCCCUCUUGCCAAGUGGACUCCAACUGUUCUUACGUCCCCCUGGAAAGCUUUGCUGACUUCAUUAUUUUAACCACGAGCACCAGAAGGGAACUCCUUGCUAUCCCACUGCACGUGGGGUUGUGCGGGAUGGGCACUGACACAGACUGAUGCCCCUGAGCACUGUACCCCCAAGGAAGGAUGCUGCCUGCUGCACAAGUGGUUGUACACAGCUCUGGCUGUCCUGCCUGGUGUUGGGUGGAGAACCAUUUGCUUUCUUUGCCCAAAUGACUGCUUUCAUCCUUAUACCCUGCUGCAGAGAAUGGUGGAUGUGGUGCAGCUGUGUGGGUGCUGCAGCAGAUGUAACCCAGUGCCAAAGUGGGACUGACCACAGCUUUUGGCUCAGCACGUGUCAGUGUGUUCAUGUGGUUUGUGAAAUCAGGUGCUGAAGGGCUAAAAGGUGCUGCAGUGGAGAUGGAAUUGGGAUUUGCUGGGGUUACUGCUCUUGGGAAGCUUGACUUAAUGCACAGCUUCUCCAGCCCUCCACGGGGCUUCCCUGAGUUCUAAAAUACCAUAAAGCAAACUGGUGAUGCUCUGUGCUGUACUUUCCUGCAGCAGCACCGUCUGCUGGGGGUCGAGCAUCUCUUAACUGGGAACAGAACAGGAGCACUGCACAGCUGGAGCAGUCUGGGACAGGGCCUGGGCUGUCUCCUGGGCUCUGCCGAGUCUUAUCGCUCGUGUUAUCUCUCUAAAGCUGAUGGCAGCCCUCUGCCUCAAUGGGAGAGAGGAAGGGCAGCUCCAACAAACAGCAGGGAAUGGGGUGAUUCCUACAGGGAGAGCAAAGCGAGCCAGAAAGGUGAUGGCAGCGUUCCGGAGUUAUCCUGCUGCUUCUCUCCUGCUCUGGCCAUCAUCCAUCCUCCUGCACAGUGACACGGCCAUGGGUGCAGACAGUGCCUGUAAAGGGCUACUAGCACUUAUUUUCAUCUUUUGCAGGAAAUCCUCCCCCUCUCAGCGCUGCCAUACAGCCACAGCCGCUGCGUUCCCGCGCUGCUGACGCAGAGCUGUUUGCUGUGACCCCUUACGCACACAGCAGGCCUUGCUUUGCCUUUCCUCUUCCCCAACCUCUCUUUUUUAAAAAGCAAAUCCGCUUUCUUAUUCUCUUUUGAACGAAAAUAAUGUAAAAGCUGUACAGUAUUCCAAGGGCGCAGUGUAAAUAUUUGUGACUCAGAAAUCAGCAGAGGGCUCUUUUGUGACAGCGGUUCUGGUUUUGAUUUCACUCACCGGGUGAGCGCCGUCCCCCCGCCGGGCUCUGCUUUGCACCCUUACAGAUAGCUUCUCACGCCUUUUCUGCUGACCUACCCUUUAGUUUCGACGAUACCUGUCUGAAGAAUGCACACGGGCUGUUUGAGAACUGCUAACAUUACUGCGCCGUGAGCCUUUGUUUCCACGCACCGUCACGAGCAGACACGGACACACAGCCUGCAGCACAGUGCUGCACACAGCCCCGCAGCAGGGGAUGCAGAAAUGCAAUGAGUGAGGACAGGGCAGGGAGGGAGGCUCACCCUACAGCUGCACAGUGACACAACCGAAAGAAGGUGAGGGUGUGGGAGUUGCAGGCAGAAACCUGAUAAGCCCGUCAAAGUGAAUGCAGCCAGCCGGCCAUGAGCUGGCAAGUAAUUAGUGCAAUUACAAACAAUUAUUUUCUUAUUCUUCCUGCUUUUUUCACACACUGAUAGUGCACAGGAUGUGACCAGAACGCUAACUCUUUGUUCUAAACCAGAGAGAGCAAAGUAUGUCGCAAAAUGCUAAAGGGGAUGGCAGGUAGGCGAUAGAUAGGAGCACAGAGUCCCUGACCCGCUCCUGGGACCUGGGGAGGUGGAGGUCUCCAGAUUUUAAAGACUCAGUUAUUUGAAGGGAUAAAGUUUUGGAGAGAGAGAAGGGGAUGCUGCAAGUCUGUGGGUGGCAUCAGCAGUUGCAGCAAUCAGUGCUGGUGGUGCACAGCUUCAGCCACCAACUGAACUGCACCCAAAGGCACUCCCGGAUUACAACACACAGCACGCUCUGCCCUUGUACUCCAGAGCCCUGCGCUCCUACUAGAAACAACGAGGUGCUGUGAGCAGGAGCUGAGCACAAGAUCUGUGCCCAGACGCAGCAGCCGGCCCUCCACACAAACCUGCAUUUGGCAGCACGGUGCAGCUGGGGACAGUGCUGCUGGCAAACAUGCAGCUGGAGCCCAGCAGGGACACCAGGGAGCACGGCCGUGCUGCAGCGCUGGCUGUAUGCAGCCCCAGGGGCCCCUCUUGCAUCACAUCCAUCCAGGAAACAAUGCAUCGCAUGUGAUUCCAUUCCCUCUGCCAGGGGCUCCUGCUUCCAUGUGUGCAGAGUUCCUCACCGCCUCCUCCCUCCUCUCUUCCACUCCCGUUUUAUUCACUGCUUUUCGAAGAAUCACCGUUCCUGGUAACUGUUCUCUGUAAUAGAAACAUCACCUUUUUGUCACUGUAUUUAUUCCUUAUACAACCGUGUGUGUCAUGCUAGGUUCCCCGUGGAUGUAGCUGAUCAUUUUUAUUUUGUAAAUAUAAUUACCUAACUUUACGUAAACGAUAUCCUAAUAAACUAUUUUUGCACCACC
RNAcentral lists this long non-coding RNA (3021 nucleotides) under Gallus gallus (chicken). Its description in RNAcentral is "lncRNA (ENSGALG00010022677.1)". Lineage: Eukaryota; Metazoa; Chordata; Aves; Galliformes; Phasianidae. The record is from RNAcentral.